This 398-nucleotide unclassified non-coding RNA is filed under the name Hevea brasiliensis (rubber tree). Lineage: Eukaryota; Viridiplantae; Streptophyta; Magnoliopsida; Malpighiales; Euphorbiaceae. The record is from RNAcentral.
AGAACUGGCUGUGGCCUUGCUGGGACUUGGUGGGGUUGGUGCAAUGGGUGCGGCUGCUGAACUUAUCAUUGAAACUGGGUUAUAAUCCCUAUUAUCAGAUGAGAAAAUCCUUGGUUAUAAUUUUCUGUGAUGGAAUCAUAGCUCAUGUAAAUUGAAAUGUAGUUUGUAUAAGCAAAUAGGAUUUAUAUAUCUGUAGAUGACGGUUAAAUUUCACUUUGUUGGAUUCUCGAGGUUCCGGGCUUGUGCCAACAAAACGUUGCACAAGCACGGUAACAGGGAUGACUACUUUUUUCAACAAUUAUGUGGCCUUUGGAUUUGGUGAACUUGGCAAAGUUAACGGUCAGGUGUCUCUCAGGUCUUAACCAUGUAUCCUAUGGUAACUGUUAUUGCACGGUUUA